This is a long non-coding RNA of Gallus gallus (chicken), 8032 nucleotides long. NCBI's taxonomy places the organism in Eukaryota, Metazoa, Chordata, Aves, Galliformes, Phasianidae. The record is from Ensembl.
GUGUGCACAGUGAUUGCCUUCGUAAUUACUGAUGGGAUGUACCUGGGUUACAGCAGAUAAAAGAGAGUGGUGCUGCCCAGCAUUUAGCUUCAGAGUGAUGGGGGCGUUGUUUCUGUAUGUGCUUCAGCCUCAAUGUCUGCCCAAUGCCCAGCCUGGCUCAGCAGUGAGCUCUGGGCAGGGUUUGAGCACGGAGCUGUGGGUGCCUGGAUGAGCUGUGAGGCACAACAUGAGCAAAGCCAUAGCAAAGAGCACUGUGAGCAGAGGAGUACAUUGGACUGAGAGUACCCACCUCUGCCGGGAUCCACACAACUUCAUCUCUCCGAGCAGCACAGCCCCCAGUGUUGGACGGAUGGCCCCAAAACCUCUGAGGUGGUGGCACAGAUCCAUCAGCAUGUGGAACACAGGACCGCAGCGUGGGCUGGCAGCGCCAGGAUUGCACUCUGUGAGCAGCAGUGAUUAUUUCGGAUUUCUGCUAUUUUUCAGUAAUCGGAGCUCUUCCUGAGUUUUCCUCAGCUCUCCUGUAGAAUGGAAUUAUCAGAUUUCCAUGGCAAUUAAAGCAGAAAGCUGCAGGCACGCGGAUUGCUCCGUACGAUGGCUGAUGGGGAACAAGUGGAUAGAGGCUGCGAGAAGGAAAGAGGAUUUUCACGGCUGCUGCAGGGCCAGCCGAGCCUUGCAACGAGCUGCAAGCUCCUGCAGCACUUCUUGCCUUUCCCUCGGUGCAAAACACCCAGCGUGCAAUGAUGGAGAGAGCAAAAGGACUGGACUUUGGUGCUGGUUGGUUCUGAAUCCAGCAGAUGCUCGCUGGUGGGUGCAUGGGUGCUGCACUAUGGGAUGAUAGAGGGGUGAUUCUGUUCUGUGCUCUGCCCUUCCUGGGUCCCAUUGCUACUUGCAAAAUCAGGAUCAGUCCCUGCAAAGCCUGCCAGUGGCUCAGGAGCUGCAGGAAACUCACCAACCAUCCACCCAUCCCACCAUACCCACAGUGCUGUGUCCCUAUGUGCCACACCUGCACCAUGCAGCAUGUGAGUCAUGGCUGCUCUUCCACUUCAACAAAGGAAGAGCCAACCAAGCCAAGGUAACACCCACGGUGAUGAGGUGAAGGGCUUAAUUACUCACUGGAUUUCACUGCCACACCAUUUCUGAGGCUGACUGCUAUGAUAUAUGUGAGGAACAUCAGACAUUGAUCACAAAAUACAAAGGGAGGAGGGAAAAGAAGUCUCCCUGUGGUUUGGAUCCUGAGCCCAGGGUUGCUCUCCACUAUGAAAGCAUGAGUUUUCAACUAGAAAAUGGCACUUCUGGCUGGGAUGCUAUUUUCUGGGCUCAGCCAGAGCCAGAAGGGGCAAUGCCACCCAACAGACCCUUGUCCCGUUGCUCUCAGGUGUUGACCCAUGUCUCCAUUCUUCAUUUGUCCCCAUCCUUGCUGAAGGAAAGCACGUCCCACGGAGGGCACUGGGCUUCUCCCCCAUGCUGCAGCCCAGCCCCCACUCCACAGCCAUAUGCAGCAUAUCACCUUCUCUUCGGGGUUGGGUUACCCUGCAGUAAUUCACUUACAGUUCACAAAUGAUAAAUCCUUGCACAGUUGGCUGAGAAAUCUGGGCUAACAAGGAAUGGAAGUGAAUUAUUAAAUCCAAAUGGCGCCAUGGCCUGUCCACUCUACUCCUCAGCCACAUUAACAACACCGUGGGGCAUGAUGACCUGCUGUGUGGCAAUAGCUGCUCCCAGGUAUGCCUGGGAUAGGGCUGUAGCUCCGGGUAGGGUGCACAGAGGUAUCCACCUCUGAAUUGCACAGCUGGAGAGAAAGAUGUGAGCUGUGUCCCAGCGUGGGUGUCCUCACAGCCCGUGUCAUACCCGAGUGAGCUGCUUCCAGCAGUGACUUAAAUGCAAACAGCAGAAAGCCACUAAAUCCUGACAUUUGCCCCUUCCCAUCAGGCAUUGGCACUGGCUGAUCCCUUUGUGCUUUCCAGAAAUAGCUGGGGCUCCGUGUGCCUUUCAGCCUUGGCUUUGGGGAGAGGUGAGGACUACAGAGGGAAAUCCCAGCAGCGGGACUGGCCCUGAUCUGCUGUGAAGUGAGUUCAUCUGACCUGCUCACCCCCGUGUGCCCUGCCCUGGUUUUAUUCGUCAGGAUUACAGACUUCAAAUACGCUGUAAAAGGAACCCGUAUACAACCCUUCAAAAUCACUUAAGUGGGCCAAUGACAGAAGUACCAGCCCUGCAAGUACAUACAGAGCACUGCGGAAAUCAUCCCCGGUGUUUAUUUAUGAGCCACUUUUAAUUAUUCAGCGGGAAUGAAUGAAAGAGGUGGAAAAUGGGAAGCGACAGAGGGCUUUGCAUUGAGUUACAGCUCGUGGAGAGCAAAGGGAGAGAUCACGGCGCUUUCAAGUCGCGAUGGUUGGAGGGUAUAAUUACACCCUGCUGCUUUAUGGGCCAAACCUCAGAGAAUUCAAUGGCAAACUGUGUUUCAGAGAGCGUGAGGAGCCCUCAGAAGGCUUCACACAGCACUGAGGAAGAGCAGAAUGCUUCACAUAGGCAGCAGCAGGCAUGGCAGAGCCCUGGGCUCAGCAAGGUCACCUGUCUGAAGGGGAGCUGCACGGACAGCAGUGCGAGUUCUGCUUGGCACGUCUGCAGGGAGCAGAUAUGGAGAAGGAGAAGUGCUGCGAUGCCACGUGGUUAGCUGAAAAGUGUUUUCUCUGCAGCUCCCACAGGAAAGGCCCAUGACUGAGAAAGAACAUGGUGUUCGUUCAUUGGGACAAGCUGAUCUUCAAGCUGAUUUGUGUUAAUUUGGAAAGUGAGAUCUUUUUUUUGUUGUUGUUGUUCCCCCUUUCUUUUUCCAGGAAAAAUGGAGCUGUCUGGUUUUGAUCACUUGGUGUGCUCAGCACCAAAGCCCUCAGAGUAAAUAUCUCCUAUGAAGGACAUUAAGGACCAACUCAUGGGGAGCAGCAGCAGGAAAACACUGCCAUAAACCCAAUACACAUCACGGUGCAUUCGUUUGUUACUUGGCACUGUAGCCGGGGCAGGGAAAACAUAGGAAGGCAUGGAGCAGAAUGGUGCCUCGGGGUGAUGAGUACAGCUGGGGCAGUGUGAUUAGCCCCAAGUGGCAGAGUCCUCCAUGCGCCCUGCAAGGCAGCUGAUGGCUCUGUGCUCCCUUUCCUGCUGGCUAUGGGAGGAAGGAGGGGAUGACCGGGCACGGUGCAAGCCAGCCUUGCUUUCCAUUCGAAUCCUAGAACCGUAGCCAAAGAAAACAAAGAAAUAGAAAAAGAAAGACGACGCACGGCAGCGUGCUGCUGCUGGAGGAAGGCCGAUAAGGCGGCAGCUGCUGCUCUUCCUCUGGGCUGCCCAGCAGAAAGCUGAAGGCAGCGCCGCCCGGCUCCUCACCCCAGCGCCGGGGAACGGCUUUAAGGAGCCGUGAUGCUCAGCGGGCUGAUAGGCAGAGCGGACGGCAGACCUUCCAGCUUCCUUCUGCCUUCCGAGCACACUCUGCCCAUUGGGCCCCGCUGUAGUGUCACCUCGGGGAUCUCUGUGGUGUUAAAGCGAACUUCUGCACAAGAGCGAGCAACUCCCGUUUGCACCCCCGCCGGUAUUUCUUCCCCAGAAGUGAACUUGCUGCUCUUCGCCGCGAGAUGGAGCCUUCAGAUCGAGCCCUUUCCCUUAGGGUUGGUGGUUGUCUAAAGCAAUUAAGCCUCAUUUAGAGAUCGCACGUGUUUAGUUUUCUCAGAUUACUAUCUGUGGGUCUUUAUUAUUUUUUUUUGUUAAUGAAUCAUAUUUUUCAUCAUCUCUCUCUCUUUUAUCUGAUACGAGGAAACUGCAAAGGCUGCCAGAAUGGGUGCUGCUCCAGCCCAGCUCUGCAGAGGAGGACAGUGAACAAUGCAGCUCUUCUUCCUGGAGAAGCAUCACUCACAGCAUCACAGAAUGGUUGGGUUGGAAGGAACCUCAAGGACCACGAAGCUCCAACACUCCUGCUGCAGGCAGGGCCACCAACCUCCACACUCCAUACCAGCCCAGGCUGCCCAGGGCCCCAUCCAACCUGGCCUUGAACACCUGCAGGGAUGGAUGGGGCAUCCACAGCCCCUCUGGCAGCUGUUCCAGCACCUCACCACUCUCAUAGUAAAGAACUUCCCCUCUGACAUCCAACCUAAAUCUUCCCUCCUUCAACGUUAAACCGUUUCCCCUUGUCCUGCUCGAUGCAUUGCUCGAUGCCACACCACAGGGACAAAGCAGCUGCAGAAAGUGUGUGUUGUGCAAAAGCUGGGGCACGAGUGGGGGCUAAAAGGGACACCUGGAUGGCAGCAUGCUGUCCUUCUCUCUGUUCACCUUCUAGCUCAAUUCUACUUCUGAAAUCUGCCCCCAUUCCAUAUCCUACUGUUCUUCCUGAAGGGCAACGGAAAAGGAUGGCUCUGCUCUUUGGCACCAGCAGAGCUGCUCCUGCCCUGCCUGCUGUGCACCCAUCUGCCACGCUCCUCCCCGGCCUCUGCCCACAGCCACGUCCCCAAAUACCCCGAGAUCUCACUUCCCUUUGGUUUCACUGCCUUUCAGCCCCGAGGGACCAAAUGUUUUGUUUUGCUCUGUGCGUUUCCACGUUCAUCUUUCAUCUUCUGUUUGAAGCUAUUGUGAAGAAGCUGCGAAAAGCAAUGUGGCCCUGGUGCUCCUCUGAUGGCACUCGGGCUCUGGAGAGGUGUCUGAAAGCUGACAGCAGAGCUCUGUGCUGCUGGGAGGAACCAACUUCUGCGUUUGGGCACCCCACUCUGUGGGGAUUGGGGCCAGGACGGGUUGGAGCAGAACCCCAAAGUCUGAAUGCAAUUCAGUGUUUGCCAGAAGGCAGGGACUGAUAAGGCCUGCUGGGCUCUCAGUGCACCUCUUUAGGCACAUAGUGACAAGGAAAAGGUUCAGCUCAGCGAGGAGCAGGCAGUGGCCACUGCUCUGCUGCCUCUGCCCUGUGUGGGCAGCCCUGCCCCGUGAAGCCCUUCCCUUCCCAGACUUAAAACCAACGCCCUCCUGAGUGCCUUCCUGUACCAGCUCCUUUCUGCUCUCUCUCUCUCUCUAUUUUCUGGGGUCACAGCAAAGAGCAGCACUGGGGCAGCACCCAUGGGACCAUAAUGUGUUUGUAGCACACGGACAGACACACGCAGAGCAUUGCUGCUGAGUUCACUGCAGGUCCUCUGGUGCUGCUGUCAAACCUUCAUUUUCAGGUGUUGGAAAUCAUUUGUUUCCCUUCAUCUGUUUUCUGUCCGCAGAUGGUGCUUCCUCUGUAGGUGAUGGACUCGAGGUGACAGUGAUGGCUCAGUGCUUCCUCAUAUAAGCAGAGCUCCAGAACCACCCUCAGCACAGUGCUGCGCAAUGGCUGCAAUGCUUCGCAGAGGAUCAGUGUGUGUAUGUAAAUGGCAGAAUGUUCUCAAGCAGCACUGGAUUUUGCAUUUUAGCAAGGAUUUCCUUCCCAACUCCUCCUUCCUCAGUGCUGCUCAGUACCUCUUUCCCACUCCUGCCCCUUGUUCUUCCCUGCCCAGCUCUUUGCCCUGCAUGGCACGUUCCAGCCCCUCCUUUCUUGCUGAUCUCUGUGAUUAAAAGGUGGUGAGCAACACGGUUAUGAAAGCAAUGAUCUGUGCUGUAUCUUCAGAGGAAUGUCCACCUGCACUGUCUGCAGGAUGGAAACCAGCAGGGAGGCUGCUCCUUACCCUUCUGGCGCAAUGAUUGAACAGAUACUGCCCUCAGUUAAUAACAAUUCCCAAUAACUCUUGAAAUGAAGCAGACACAGCUCUGCUAAUUAAGGUGAAAAAGCAGCUCAUCCAAAUAACUUUCCUCAGAAAGCACGUCCAAUGACACUUCUAUCUGUUACGCUGUGUGUAGUUAUUAUCCCCAGUAGGUUAUACAGGAUGCAAGUGGGAGAAUUUCUGAUGCUCUCAUUAAUUUUGGUGGCAACUUUCUGUACUGGGAAUCAUCAUUCACCUCCACCCAUUGGAAGCAGUUGAAUUUCAGGAAGGUGGCAGUGCACACAUGGCACAGGGUUAAAUUUGGGUUAAAGACAGCAUCAUCUCCAGGCCUCUGGCAAAUGAGGCGGAGUAAGCAGGACACAGCAGGGGAGAUCAGGUCCUUCACAAAUGGGAAUAUUCACUUGGGAAGAAGUAGGAGAAAAUAACCUAGAAAUAAGGUCACUGGUCUCCAGACAGCCCCAUGGGAAAGCCAAGUAGUGCUGAGAGUAAUUUUCCUGCUUAGUGUGGCAGGCGUGUGGGCACACAUCAUAGGGAAGUGAGAGCAAUACAGGCUUUGGACAAUACUAGAAACCCCAAGAGACCACGAAGAGCCCUUAACCCUUUGGGUAAACGGUCCCAUGUGAACACCCAGCACAUUAACUUAUUGUUGCACGAGGCUGGGAAAUGGUUUGGAUCUUAGUUUAUGUGAGCAUUACCAAAGAAUAAAACAUUGCAACAUAUCUGUCAGGAACUGUAUUUCUCUGUGCUACAAUCCUUGAAGAAGAGGAAGUAAACACACUGCUGGCUCUGCACGACUCUUCCUGUAGGGCAACUGCAUUGUCAUCCCCAGGAAAUGCAACACCAAGCCCUGAAAUGAUCUGCACUGUAAAGGGCUGCUACAAUUCUGAGAGCUGUUAAAUUGCAGAGGAACAGAGCUGUGUUUGAUUGGGCAGAACGGUCAGGUUCCUGGGAACCCUUCAUCCUCAGCUGUAUGGUGGAAGAAGAGUGGGGAGUCAGAAACAGGGCAUGGGGAACGUGGCCUCCUCCAUAUCACUGCAGCCGGGUGAGAUGAGGUUAUGGAGGAAAAGGCCAUGGUGUCACGGAGCAGAGCCACAGUUCCCCCCUGUCCCAAAGCUGUUCCCACCACUCCCCAGGGCUCUGCCUGAGCUUGAAUCUCAACACUGGUUGGGGUGUGAAUGUCCCAGUCAGACCAUAGGGAACUGUGGCUUUGUCGGUUUGUAGGUUUGGGUCUGUUGGUUGGUUUGGGUUUAUUUGUGGUGGCGUUGUCACUGUUUUGCAUUACUGAGUGCAUGAACCAGAAACUCAGAGUGUUUUACUCAGUCACCUGGGGAUUACAGCAGAUUCCAGGCUGACCAUGAGCCAAUAGCAUGCUUUUGUCUCAGACAGAGAAAACCACACGUUGGCUUACAGUAGGAUGAGGGAAACCAUUACCGCCUUCUACUCUGUGAGGCCUUUCAUUCAGCUUUGCUGCAGCUGCUGCUGGGCCAAGGACAUCAAGACACCACGUGUGGGGCCAGGAAGAAGAAAUGUGUGCAAUGGACACCUACUGUGGCUUGGGAAACCCAACUGAACAUUAGGAAUAUAAAGAUCAGUAGGGAGGUUUGGCGGUGGGUUGAGUAGUAUGGUUAGGUGGAGGUUGCAUGGUCUUGAAGGUCUCUUCCAACCUGAGCAAUUUGAUGAUCCGAUGAUAAGGCGGUGUAGUACUGGAACAGGUCACUGAGGCCAGUUGGAGACUCCCCAUCCUUAGGGAUUUUCAAGACUCAGCUGCACAAAACCCCACUGAACACUGAUGGAAGCUCUUCCUUGGGUGGGAGGUUGGACGAGACGCCCAACAGAAUUCCUCUCCACCAAACAUUUCCAUAUUUCUAUGACCUUAAAUUCAGGCAAAUGCACGUGCCCUUAGCACAAGUGUGUAAGAUUUCGAUGUAUUUCUAACUGCUUUCAGAUCCAGGGAGUUUCACACGAAAGUGCAACAGAAAAAAGUGUGCAGCUUUAAAGCAUUUCUUAAUCCCACCCCUUUAGAAUCUGAGUGCUGUUUACUCUGCUGUCUGCUGGAGAUCCAACACGUUCAAAAAUAGCAUGGCAUGGGGUCCCAUCAAAGCCUUCUAACAUCACCAGGUGUCUCCUCAGCAUGAAAACAAAUUCUUUGAAGAGAUUGCUUGGAAGAGGAAAAUAAAGUACCGCAAGUGAGCUCCUGUGCUGUGAUGUGGUAUCGGAUGUACAGAAAACAUCUGCAGUAAAACUCGUCUGCAAAAGUGAGGCAGGCAGAUUUCCCCUCUGUGUACAUGAAGAGCCACCUUUUCUGAAUUAAUAAUAAUAAAAACAAGGAUAAU